GCCUAGAUCCACCUUCCCUGUGAAACACCUAUUGGAGCGUUGUCGCGGGACGUGAAGGGAGGCAGAAGCUGCCGCAUCCGUUCUUAGCCGGGGUAGCAAAUUGGGGCGUGUGGUUGACCAACGACCUUCGUAGUGCCCUCGGGAGCGAAAUUGACGCCGCCGCAGAAUCAAUCGGAGCGCGGAUCAAGAGGAAUUCUUCACCGAGGUGGGUGACCGCCGUGGCCACACUUCACCAUGGACGAAGACGGCGUGGCGAAACCGGGGUAAUCAUCCCAUCCCUCGCUUAGUUUCCAUACCCCCAUCGUGUUACAUCGAUCCGAAGUGAGAAUAGCUUACAUGUGCCCCUAAAUUGUCCACCGGAGCUGUGCUUCGCUGAGGUGCCGCGAUUGACCGGGGGCCGGGCAGGCCAACAUGUCAUUCGCGUUGGGUCUACCCUCAUCAUGUUCAUAGUGGCUUGGGGUUGCCUGUACCAUGGAAGUCUGUAGUUCUAGAGCACCCAGGUGUGAUUCCGGGGAACUCCGGCGAGCUCGCCACCGUAGGCGGCGGCAGCGCUGUCGCUGGUGACCGCUGGUUGGGGUUGGCGGUGUUGGCGGUUGGACUCAAAAAUGACGGUUAGGAUCUAAUAUAUGCUCACCAAAUCUGAACCAUUAGAUUGUUGGCGAACGUCCGUGAUCAAGCGCAAAUGAUACCUCUUCGGGGUUGAUCGUGGGACGUUGGAUGACAUCGGACGGACCGGUGGCCAUCUCGUCCCUUUAAAAUAGCCAUCGUCGGAUCUUAAUCCAUAGGUCUAUGUUUCGUACCAGUUCGGUGCAUGGGUGGAUGUAAUCUGAACCCUUGAUUCCCGAUCGGACGCCUGAGAAACCGCGAUACCCCUUCGUUGUGCACUAUUUCACAUGAGACCCUGAGUUUAAUGAGUAUCAACCCGCAGUCUGUCUCAGUGUUAGCUCUAAGUCUGGGGAAUCUUGCGAGCUAGCCCCUAUACUUUUAAGUAUUAUUGCACGCAACCCAAGAACAAAGGAAUUCGAUAAUUAAUUAUAGAAACUAAUUUUUAAUACAAAAAUAAUUCCAGAAACUUGUAUAAAUCAUAUUUAAUUCAUUUUAACUGCAAAUUGAUCCAUUCCAGUGGCAUUAAUUUUGUUUUAAUAUUGUUUAUCACCUAGUAACUCUGUUUAGCUAUGAAAUUUGGAGUAAAAUUAUUCACUUGAAUUAUUCCACACCAAAUACUUAAUAACUUAGGAAAUUCAUAACUUGAUAACCGUAACUCCGAAUUUAUUGAUUCUUGUUCCUAUGAUCAUGUUACGACGCAUAGACUAUUAUCAUGCAUUCUGUUAUGUUGUUUGUUGUGAUGUUAAUUUCUGAUAUACCAUGUUUGUUUGUAUCGUUGCGAGUAGACGAGCAAGCCAUAGAGGAUCCCGAUGUUCAGCAGGUGGAGACUGCUGAGCAGGAGCUCGUUGAAGGCAAGUUGUGCCGUGAUCACUUCUGUUUACCCAAUAAUGUUCUUACUAAUCAUAAUGAUCUGCAUAGGUUAAUUUUGAUGGGACCCAAAAGGUUACCCUAGUUUGGCUAUAUUUACCUUGUUUACCACUGAAUUUUUUAGAUAGUACCAGCUAUUGCUUUAUGUGGUUUUGGGUAUGGAGAUAGACAUUAUUCAUGAUCAUACUUUUAUUAUUAGUUUGUUAUUUACUGUUCAUGAUAAGAUCAUUAUGUUAAUUGGAACAUGGAGCGACCACCCGGGAAAACAGUGCUACCACAAGGGUGGGAUGGGACGCACUUGGCUGACUAAUUAGAAAAGUUAGUGGAGGACUACCUUACCCAAAAGGGGAAAGGGCAGUAUGGGAGUGGUCAGUGUAGGGAGGUCCUUGGGUUGAUUUUGUUGCGAUGGCGGUCAGGCGAGGGAUCCCUGCAUUGGAGCGUCCUAGAAAUUGUAGCGGGUUUUUUGAAGCUAGUGGAACUUUGUAAAGGUCUCGUAGUGUUACCCUGCCUCACUUCCUUGGUAGAGGUGUAUGGGAGUCGUGAUCCCUUGGUAGAUGGGUAACAUGACUUGUGGGUAAAAAUACGCAACCUCUGCAGAGUGUAAAACUGGUAUAUCAGCCGUGCUCACGGUUAUGAGCGGCUCAGACCCUCACAUGAUUGAAUUAUGGAAUUAAAUUCAAUUUGUCAUCUGCAUCGCAUUGGGAUUUAUUGUUAUUUUGAUAUACUACUACUCUGGUUUGGCAUUUACUUACAUUUAGUAACUGCUAAUAAAAUUUGACCAACUUAUUAAAAGCUAUGCUCAUAUUUAACCCUUAUUUGUUGAUCAGCCUUACACUUCACAUGAACUCCCACCUUUGGUGAGUUCAUGCACAUUAUUCUCCACAACUUGUUGAGCUAUGAUCUUUUAUGAGCUCACUCUUGCGAUAUAUAAACCCCCCCACAGGUGAAGAGCAGGUGGUCCAAGAGGAGCCACCCUACAAUGAAGAAUACAAGUUGAUCUAGGUGGUGUCUCCAAGUCAGCUUUGUAGCGCCAAGGAAUAAUACUUAGUUCGCUUUAUUAUUAUCAUUUAUUUUUGUAAUACUUUCACUAUGUAAUA
This 2570-nucleotide long non-coding RNA is filed under the name Zea mays. Its description in RNAcentral is "long non-coding RNA (ZMAY_LNC002686)". The record is from RNAcentral. Lineage: Eukaryota; Viridiplantae; Streptophyta; Magnoliopsida; Poales; Poaceae.